UCCCGAUUCGUCCAAAUGGCAGGACGCCUGAUUCUGGAUCAGGCAAUCGAGGUUCGAGUCCUUGAUCGGGAG
This 72-nucleotide transfer RNA is filed under the name Microbacterium sp. H6. RNAcentral describes it as "tRNA-Gln". It matches the Rfam family "tRNA". From Rfam's summary of the family: Transfer RNA (tRNA) molecules are approximately 80 nucleotides in length. Lineage: Bacteria; Bacillati; Actinomycetota; Actinomycetes; Micrococcales; Microbacteriaceae. The record is from RNAcentral.